CCUACGGGUGGCAGCAGUGGGGGAUAUUUCACAAUGGUGGGAACCCUGAUGCAGCGACGCCGCGUGGGUGAAGAAGCGCCUCGGCGCGUAAAGCCCUGUCAGCAGGGAAGAAAAUGACGGUACCUGAAGAAGAAGCCCCGGCUAACUAAGUGCCAGCAGCCGCGGUAAUACGUAGGGGGCAAGCGUUAUCAGGAUUUACUGGGUGUAGAGGGGGCGCAGACGGCGAUGCAAGCCAGGGGUGAAAGCCCGGGGCCCAACCCCGGGACUGCUCUUGUAACUGCGUGGCUGGAGUGCAGGAGGGGCAGGCGGCAUUCCUGGUGUGGCGGUGACAUGCUUAGAUAUCAGGAGGAAGACCGGUGGCGAAGGCGGCCUGCUGGACUGCAACUGACGUUGAGGCCCGAAAGCGUGGGGAGCAAACAGGAUUAGAUACCCUGGUAGUC
RNAcentral lists this ribosomal RNA (440 nucleotides) under uncultured bacterium. Its description in RNAcentral is "partial 16S ribosomal RNA". It matches the Rfam family "Bacterial small subunit ribosomal RNA", at positions 338 to 795 of the family's 1533-position model. The record is from RNAcentral.